RNAcentral lists this ribosomal RNA (433 nucleotides) under uncultured bacterium. Its description in RNAcentral is "partial 16S ribosomal RNA". It matches the Rfam family "Bacterial small subunit ribosomal RNA", at positions 29 to 507 of the family's 1533-position model. The record is from RNAcentral.
AACGAACGCUGGCGGCAUGCCUAACACAUGCAAGUCGAACGAUCCCUUCGGGGAUAGUGGCGCACGGGUGCGUAACGCGUGGGAACCUGCCCUUAGGUUCGGAAUAACUCAGAGAAAUUUGAGCUAAUACCGGAUAAUGUCUUCGGACCAAAGAUUUAUCGCCUUUGGAUGGGCUCGCGUUGGAUUAGCUAGUUGGUGGGGUAAAGGCCUACCAAGGCGACGAUCCAUAGCUGGUCUGAGAGGAUGAUCAGCCACACUGGGACUGAGACACGGCCCAGACUCCUACGGGAGGCAGCAGUGGGGAAUAUUGGACAGUGGGCGAAAGCCUGAUCCAGCAAUGCCGCGUGAGUGAUGAAGGCCUUAGGGUUGUAAAGCUCUUUUACCCGGGAUGAUAAUGACAGUACCGGGAGAAUAAGCCCCGGCUAACUCCGUG